GCAGCUGUUAAGAUAAAACAUAUAAUGUAAUAUUAUUAUGAUGUUGAGCAACAAUAUAUACCACUAUAAAUUGUUAGAAAUGUUAAAGUAUGGGAAAUUUGGAACGAUUUACAAGGGAACUUAUUAUAACAACAACAAUUUAGCUAUUGAAAAAAUUUCUCUCGAUCAACGAAUGGAAAAGUUAACUAGAAUGUGCAAUGAAGUAUUAACCAAUCGGCAGUUUAAACAUCGAAAUAUUAAUACCAUCCUUCACUGCUUUGUUUAUGAGCAGUACGCAUAUUUGAUCUACCCAUAUAUGUGUUUUGGAGAUUGUGAAAUUCUGCUUCAAGAUGUAUAUACUUCUGGAUUCCCGGAGACUAUAUUAGCACUAAUUUUGAAGGAUGUUUUAUCAGCGCUUACAUACAUUCACUCUCAACAUUUUGUUCACGGAUCUAUAAGGGCAAAACAUAUACUUAUAAAUUCCAGAAAAGCUGUAGUAACCAAUUUUGGUGACUGUCAAAAUUUUAUUAAUAAUGGAAAACAAAAACCGUUUUUAAACGGAUUAUCGGUGGAAAAUAAGAAACAGUUGUAUUGGACGGCACCAGAAGUUUUAUAUCAAAACCUCUCUGGUUACACAGAAAAAAUAGACAUAUACUCCCUCGGAAUCACAUGUUGUGAAAUGGCAAAUGGGUUUCAACCUUUUAGAGACACUGAACUGACAUACAUGUAUAUUGAAAAAGUUCAUGGAGUUCUUCCUUUUUUACUGGAUAAAAAUAGUCUUAUGGCUAACCAUGGAUCAAUUUCAUUGCAUCAAACAAAUCAACGAUUUCCCCGCGAUUUAUUCAUGAGAAAAUCAUUUUCUGAUGACAUACACCAAUUUGUUGAGCUAUGCCUGAAUAAAAAUCCAAGAUCUCGAUGGGCUGCAUCAAAGUUAAUGACACACUCGUUUCUGAAGCAAUGCCGCCAAUCUAGUUUUUCAGAACUAUUCAAAGACUUUCGUUUUGAUUCGUCCACAUUUAAAUCUGAAGAACUUUCAGAUGAACCAUUUUGUGAUGCUGAAGUCAACCGAAUUAAGAACUAUGAUGAUACGAUAUGGAAUUUUUAAUAAAUUUAAUAAAUUGUGUGUUUUUCUGCGUCGCAACAUUCAAGUUGUUUCAGAUGAACCAUUUUGUGAUGCUGAAGUCAAACGAAUUAAGAACUAUGAUGAUACGAUAUGGAAUUUUUAAUAAAUUUAAUAAAUUGUAUGUUUUUCUGCGUCGCAACAUUCAAGUUGUUUCAGAUGAACCAUUUUGUGAUGCUGAAGUCAAACGAAUUAAGAACUAUGAUGAUACGAUAUGGAAUUUUUAAUAAAUUUAGUAAAUUGUGUGUUUUUCUGCGUCGCAACAUUCAAGUUGUUUCAGGUGAACCAUUUUGUGAUGCUGAAGUCAACCGAAUUAAGAACUAUGAUGAUACGAUAUGGAAUUUUUAAUAAAUUUAAUAAAUUGUGUGUUUUUCUGCGUCGCAACAUUCAAGUUGAUGUCAACCGAGUGAGCUGAGUUGAAUCUCUGGAUCUCUGGUCUGCAGUUAACAACCUAUUAGUUUGGUUGGGUUUUUUAAGCGAUGGACGAUGAAAUAUGAUAUACCUUAUAUAACUACAUUUUUAUCUACUCCCUUUUCCGUUCUAUUUUGUAAAUUUGCUCUCCAGUUUGGAAUUUCGAAUAUCAAGUACACGUUGACCGUAUACAGUAUAUUUAAAAUAAAUGUCUUGGAUUUGCA
Molecule: RNA transcript, 1734 nt
Organism: Drosophila elegans
Lineage: Eukaryota; Metazoa; Arthropoda; Insecta; Diptera; Drosophilidae
Exons: 8
Source: RefSeq, a predicted model, not a curated record